CAACAACAACAACAACAACAACAACAACAACAACAACAACAACAACAACCACCACCACAACAACAAUAAUAACAACAACAACAACAACAAGAACAACAACAAUACCUACAACAACAAAAACAAAAACAAGAACAACGACAAUCACAAGAACAAGAACAACAACAACAAUAACAACAACAACAACGACAACAACAACAACAACAACAACAACAAAAACAAGAAUGACGACGACUACAACGACAAAGACAAGAACAACGACAACAACAACAAAAAA
This 274-nucleotide long non-coding RNA is filed under the name Hordeum vulgare. Its description in RNAcentral is "long non-coding RNA (HVUL_LNC021627)". The record is from RNAcentral. Lineage: Eukaryota; Viridiplantae; Streptophyta; Magnoliopsida; Poales; Poaceae.